ACGGGUUUGAGUAGCAAUACUCAAAUCAGUGGCGCACGGGUGCGUAACGCGUAUGCAACCUACCUUAAACUGGGGGAUAGCCUUCCGAAAGGGAGAUUAAUACCGCAUAAUACUAUUUGAUGGCAUCUGAAGAUAGUUAAAGAUUUAUUGGUUUAAGAUGGGCAUGCGUGCCAUCAGCUAGUUGGUAGUGUAACGGACUACCAAGGCUACGAUGGCUAGGGGUUCUGAGAGGAUGAUCCCCCACACUGGCACUGAGAUACGGGCCAGACUCCUACGGGAGGCAGCAGUAGGGAAUAUUGGGCAAUGGACGAAAGUCUGACCCAGCCAUGCCGCGUGCAGGAAGAAGGCCUUCUGGGUUGUAAACUGCUUUUAUCUGGGAAGAAAACACCUAUGCGUAGGGAACUGACGGUACCAGAUGAAUAAGCACCGGCUAACUCCGUGCCAGCAGCCGCGGUAAUACGGA
Molecule: ribosomal RNA, 463 nt
Filed under: uncultured Bacteroidota bacterium
Lineage: Bacteria; Pseudomonadati; Bacteroidota
Description: bacterial SSU rRNA
Rfam family: Bacterial small subunit ribosomal RNA
Source: RNAcentral